This 1948-nucleotide long non-coding RNA is filed under the name Serinus canaria (Common canary). Its description in RNAcentral is "lncRNA (ENSSCAG00000016601.1)". The record is from RNAcentral. Lineage: Eukaryota; Metazoa; Chordata; Aves; Passeriformes; Fringillidae.
UGGGAAAUCCCAGAGUGGGGAUUUGGGAUCAGCUCCAGGGGCUGGGAAUUCCCAGGGAUGGGGAGGGGGAAGAUCCUGGGAUCCCCAGAAUCCGGGAAAGACCCAGCCCGAGGGGGGCUCUGCUCCUCCCAAUUCCCGGGAUUUUUAAAUUCCCUGACUGGGAUGGGGGGGAGGGGCUGAGGGACCUUGGGAUGUCCCCGAUCCCGUGGGAAUCCCAGCCCUGCCCUGGCAUCACCGGAUCCACCCCCGAUCCAGGAGGGACCCAGACCCAGAUCCCUGUCCCAGGAAUCCCAUCCCAGACCAGGAAUCCCAUCCUGGAUCCGGGAAUCCCAUCCCACAUCAGCAAUCCCAUCCCAGACCCAGGAAUCCCAUCCCAGACCCAGGAAUCCCAUCCUGGAUCCGGGAAUCCCAUCCUGGAACCAUUUCCCACAUGGGAUCCCCAGAUCCACAUUCCCAAAUCCAGGGGGCAUUCCCAGCAUCCCCAUUUUCCAAUGCCUGCCCCAAAUCCAGGGAUCAGACCCCAAACCCAUCCCCCAUUCCACAUUUCCAAAUCCCGGGAUCAGACCCCAAACCCAGCCCCCAUUCCCAUCCCAAAUCCAGGGAUCAGAUCCCAAACCCAUCCCCCAUUCCCACCCCAAAUCCCGGGAUCAGAUCCCAAACCCAUCCCCCAUUCCCACCCCAAAUCCAGGGAUCAGAUCCCAAACCCAUCCCCUAUUCCCGCCCCAAAUCCCAGCCCCGUUCCCAAUCCCAUUCCCGAUCCCGCCCAUUUCCCCUCCCUGGGGGCGGGCUCGGGCUCGGCCGCUCCUUUUCCAGCCCCGAUCCCAAAUCCCGGUUUUUGGUGGCCGCUGUCCAGCCCGGCCGGGGCGCGCUCCUCCCGCUCUUCCCGCUUUUCCCACUUUUCUCUUUUCCCUCUUUUCCCUCUUUUCUCGCUUUUCCCGUUUCUCCUGCUUUUCCCUCCGCUCCCUCCAUUCCCGCUAUUCCCGUUUUCCCCACUUUUCCCGUUCUUCCCAGCUUUCCCGUUUUUCCCGCUGUUCCCGUUUUUCCCGGUUUUCCCCCGUUUCUCCCGGCUAUUCCCGCUCCAUCCCGCCGGGAAUUCCGCGCGCUCCCCCCGGGGCGGUUUGGGGGCCUCGGGGCCGGCGCCGCUCCCGGAACUCCUCCGGGCGGGGAAUUCCGGGAAUUCGGGCGGCGAGCCCGGCCUGGGGGCGAUGCGAGAGGCCGCGGCAGCCGAGGAGGAGGAGGAGGAGGAGGAGGAGGCGCGGCCGCCCUUCGGCCCCGUGGCAGGCGGUGAGCACGGGAUCGGGAUUGGGAUUGGGAUCGGGGUUUGGGAUCGGGGAUCGGGAUCGGGGUUUGGGAUCGGGGCCGGCGGGAGCGGCCCCAUCCCAACGCUGGGAUCCCUUCCAGGCCGGGCCCGGCACCGGCCCCGGUGCCGCGGGGAUCCCGGGAUGGGCGCGGCCGUGCGGAUCCUGUUCGGGAUGGCCGGGAUGAUCCUGGCGGGCGUGGCCACGCUGGGAACGCUGGGUGAGCGGGAUCGGGAACGGGAUCGGGAUUGGGGUUGGGAUUGGGAUCCUGUUCGGGAUGGCCGGGGUGAUCCUGGCAGCUGUGGCCACACUGGGAGCGCUGGGUGAGCGGGAUCGGGAACGGGAUUGGGGUUCGGAAUGGAAUUGGGGUUGGGAUUGGGAGUGGGAUUGGGGGUCCUGUUCGGGAUGGCCGUGAUGAUCCUGGCGGGCGUGGCCAUGCUGGGAAUGCUGGGUGAGCGGGAUUGGGAAUGGAGUUGGGAUUGGGAUUGGGAUUGGGAUCGGGGUCGGGAUCCUGUUCAGGAUGGCCGGGAUGAUCCUGGCGGGCGUGGCCACGCUGGGAAUGCUGGGUGAGAGGGAUUGGGAUCGGGAAUGGGGUCAGUAUUGGGAUUGGGAUUGGGGUUGGGAUUGGGAUCCUGUUCGGGAUGGCUGGG